UACGAAGGGGGCUAGCGUUGUUCGGAAUCACUGGGCGUAAAGCGCACGCAGGCGGUUCGCCAAGUUUGGAGUGACAGUUGUCGGCUCAACCGACAAAGGACUUCAAAAACUGGUGAACUUGAGGACGAGAGAGGAACAUGGAACUCCAGGUGUAGUAGUGAAAUGCGUAGAUAUCUGGAAGAACACCAAUGGCGAAGGCAAUGUUCUGGCUCGUUUCUGACGCUCAGGUGCGAAAGCCAGGGGAGCGAACGGG
Molecule: ribosomal RNA, 253 nt
Filed under: uncultured bacterium
Lineage: Bacteria
Description: partial 16S ribosomal RNA
Rfam family: Bacterial small subunit ribosomal RNA
Source: RNAcentral